GACGAACGCUGGCGGCGUGCUUAACACAUGCAAGUCGAACGAUGACGACCGAGCUUGCUCGGUCUGAUUAGUGGCGAACGGGUGAGUAACACGUGAGCAACCUGCCCUUCACUCUGGGAUAACCUCGGGAAAUCGGGGCUAAUACCGGAUAUGAGCUCCUGUCGCAUGGCGGGUGUUGGAAAGUUUUUCGGUGAAGGAUGGGCUCGCGGCCUAUCAGUUUGUUGGUGAGGUAGUGGCACACCAAGGCGAUGACGGGUAGCCGGCCUGAGAGGGCGACCGGCCACACUGGGACUGAGACACGGCCCAGACUCCUACGGGAGGCAGCAGUGGGGAAUAUUGCACAAUGGGCGAAAGCCUGAUGCAGCGACGCCGCGUGAGGGAUGACGGCCUUCGGGUUGUAAACCUCUUUCAGCAGGGAAGAAGCGAAAGUGACGGUACCUGCAGAAGAAGCGCCGGCUAACUACGUG
Molecule: ribosomal RNA, 467 nt
Filed under: uncultured bacterium
Lineage: Bacteria
Description: partial 16S ribosomal RNA
Rfam family: Bacterial small subunit ribosomal RNA
Source: RNAcentral